CUUGCUAGCCUGAGAGGGUGUUGCCUUUCUGCUGAGGAGGUGGCAGCCAAGUCACAGCACUAAAUAUCACCCUUCCUAUAGCAGAAGCUCAUUAAAAUGUGUUAUAUGGCUUUCCGUGAACCCAAGCUCAUACCUUCCCUUGGACUUCUGUGAAGACUAGAUGGAGCUAAGACACAACAUGAUACCC
Molecule: long non-coding RNA, 187 nt
Filed under: Fukomys damarensis (Damara mole-rat)
Lineage: Eukaryota; Metazoa; Chordata; Mammalia; Rodentia; Bathyergidae
Description: lncRNA (ENSFDAG00000025156.1)
Source: RNAcentral